UCCCUGGUGGUCCAGUGGCUAAGACUCCGUACUCCCAAUGCAGGGGCCCAGGUACGACCCCUGGUCUGGGAA
RNAcentral lists this transfer RNA (72 nucleotides) under Bos taurus (domestic cattle). It matches the Rfam family "tRNA". Rfam says of the family: Transfer RNA (tRNA) molecules are approximately 80 nucleotides in length. Their secondary structure includes four short double-helical elements and three loops (D, anti-codon, and T loops). RNAcentral also lists the same sequence under 2 other names. The record is from Rfam by way of RNAcentral. Lineage: Eukaryota; Metazoa; Chordata; Mammalia; Artiodactyla; Bovidae.